RNAcentral lists this ribosomal RNA (612 nucleotides) under Amphidoma languida. Its description in RNAcentral is "partial large subunit ribosomal RNA". It matches the Rfam family "Eukaryotic large subunit ribosomal RNA", at positions 38 to 518 of the family's 3401-position model. The record is from RNAcentral. Lineage: Eukaryota; Dinophyceae; Gonyaulacales; Amphidomataceae.
GCAUAUAAGUAAGCGGAGGAAAAGAAACUAAAUAGGAUUCCCUUAGUAAUGGCGAAUGAACAGGGAUCAGCUCAGUAUGGAAAUCGGGGCUUCCCAGCCUUGAAUUGUAGUCUCAAGAGGUAUCGCCAACGGAGGCGCAGAUGUAAGCCUCUUGGAAAAGAGCAUCAAUGAGGGUGAGAAUCCCGUUUGUCAUCUGCAGUCCCCCGUGCACGGUGUAUCUUCUAAGAGUCGCGUUCCUCGGGAUUGGAGCGUAAAGUGGGUGGUAAAUUUCAUCUAAGGCUAAAUAUGGGUUCGAGACCGAUAGCAAACAAGUACCAUGAGGGAAAGAUGAAAAGGACUUUGAAAAGAGAGUUAAAAGUGCCUGAAAUUGCUGAAAGGGAAGCGAAUGGAACCAGUGCUCUUGGCGAGAUUGUUGUGCGCUAUGGUGAUUGCUGGCUGCUUCAGCGCAAGCGGGGUAGUUGGUACUGAGCCUGCCGCGCGCAGUGUUUCUUACCUUGUGCGUCACCGUCGGUUCACAGGCGAGGAUACUUCUGAGGACAUGGUAACUCUUCCACGGAGGUGUGAAUGUCUUUGGUAAUACUCGCUUGUAGACCGCUCACCUUCGGGUUACGA